GCCGGGCAUGGUGGUGUGCACCUGUAGCCCCAGCUACUCAGGGUCUGAGGCCAGAGGAUGCCUUGAGUCCAGGAGUUCUGGGCCUUAGUGCGCUAUGCCAAGUGUCUGCACUUAUCAGGUGUCUGCACUAAGUUUGGCAUCAAUAUGGUGACCUCUCGGAAGUGAGGGACCAUUAGGUUGCCUAAGAAGGGGUGAAUCAGCCCCGGCCAGAAAUGGAGCAGGUCAGAACUCCCAUGCUGAUCAGUAGUGGGAACGUGCCUGAAAAUAGCCACCACACUCCAGACUGGUGGAGUGCCUGAAAAUAGCCACCACACUCCAGCCUGGGUAACAUAGUGAGACCCCUUCUCUA
Molecule: non-coding RNA, 349 nt
Organism: Pan troglodytes (chimpanzee)
Lineage: Eukaryota; Metazoa; Chordata; Mammalia; Primates; Hominidae
Rfam family: Metazoan signal recognition particle RNA
About the family: The signal recognition particle (SRP) is a universally conserved ribonucleoprotein.
Source: Rfam